Cyprinus carpio (common carp) is the source of this 362-nucleotide long non-coding RNA. RefSeq lists it as uncharacterized. The transcript has 4 exons. NCBI's taxonomy places the organism in Eukaryota, Metazoa, Chordata, Actinopteri, Cypriniformes, Cyprinidae. The record is from RefSeq and is a predicted model, not a curated record.
UUAUUUUCCAAUCCAAGAUUUGCAACUGUACAUUGCAAUCCCCGAGGUCACGAAAAAUGGCAAUCAACUCCUGCAGAUCAGAGAUUUCCAUAUUGACCAGGUAGGUGGAAGUCAUUGUAUCCCUCCUCAGCAUGUGGCACACAGUCGGGCGUCUCCGGAGGACCUCUCACGAACAUCACGACUGAACUACUCCAACACCCUGACGGUGCCAGUGCAGUGUACCGUCAACCUGCCUUCCUACAGAGACGUCAGCGUGAGAAUCGGUGGAUCCCUCCGAACUGAUUCACUGCAUGCGCUGAAGUUCAAAACCCUUGAGCUUGUGACGACAGCCUCAGUGGAACUGAACCCAUCCAGCCCUAUGU